GAUGAACGCUGGCGGCGUGCCUAAUACAUGCAAGUCGAGCGAACAGAUGAGGAGCUUGCUCCUCUGACGUUAGCGGCGGACGGGUGAGUAACACGUGGAUAACCUACCUAUAAGACUGGGAUAACUUCGGGAAACCGGAGAUAAUACCGGAUAAUAUAUUGAACCGCAUGGUUCAAUAGUGAAAGACGGUUUUGCUGACACUUAUAGAUGGAUCCGCGCCGCAUUAGCUAGUUGGUAAGGUAACGGCUUACCAAGGCGACGAUGCGUAGCCGACCUGAGAGGUUGAUCGGCCACACUGGAACUGAGACACGGUCCAGACUCCUACGGGAGGCAGCAGUAGGGAAUCUUCCGCAAUGGGCGAAAGCCUGACGGAGCCACGCCGCGUGAGUGAUGAAGGUCUUCGGAUCGUAAAGCUCUUUUAUUAGGGAAGAACAAAUGUGUAAGUAACUAUGCACGUCUUGACGGUACCUAAUCAGAAAGCCACGGCUAACUACGUG
Molecule: ribosomal RNA, 497 nt
Filed under: uncultured bacterium
Lineage: Bacteria
Description: partial 16S ribosomal RNA
Rfam family: Bacterial small subunit ribosomal RNA
Source: RNAcentral